UGGGAUAGAACAGUAGGACUAAAUUUCGAACUCUUAAAAACUUUCACUCUUAUAUACAAGGUGAUCUAUUAAAUUUAAUUCACAUUAAGCCAGUUUAAAAACAAGGUCUACAAGCAGAAGUGGGGUUCUACAAGCUAUGGGUCUCGUCCUCCUCUUCAUCAUCCUCCACACUCCAACUGGAGCCUUCAGCAGACUACACUGAACUUUCGAGAUCUUCAAAAUCCAAGUCUACUGCAUCUAGGGACUUGAAAUGGUUAUUUAAUAACCAAUGAAACAACGUCUUAGCAAGUUCUACCCCCUAAAACUCGUUUAGUAAAUUAAUACACCUUAGGGCUGCUUAUGCACAACACGAGUCAGAGGAUUUACCUUGGCCUCAGAGUUUGCCCUGCAUAUUAGCACAAAUCAAAUAGGCACCUAAGCAAUCAUAUCAAAGAUCGAUAUCUCGAUCAAUCGAGCUAGUCGAUUACCAAUAAACAAGACCACUCAUCAGUCAUUUCUAUUCAAUCAAUUAAUUCACAACAUCAUAUCAAAGCAAUGAUCAAUCGACCUAAUUGAUUACAUAUCCAUCAGACCAUACAUUCCCCACAAUGUAUAUCUAGUUGUCAAGCACACAUGACACAUGCAUUCUCUUAGGCACUAGUUCACCAAAGUCAUGUAUCAAAUCAUUGAGCUCAUGUGUCUCUUCCAAGAUGCCACACAUAAGUCCUUGGGCCCACGUCCAUUCUCUUAGGCACUCGCUUGCCAAAGUGAUGCAUCAAUUCACCGAGUUCACGUGCCCUUUUUACGAUGCCCAGGCCCACGUGCCUUCUCUUAGGUACUAGUUUACCAAAGUGACGCAUCAAAUCACUGAGCCCACGUGCCCUUUUAGAUGCCAUACUUAAUCAUUGGACCCACGUGCAUUCUCUUAGGCACCAAGUCUGCCAAAGUGAUGCAUCAAAUCACCGAGCCCACGUGUCCUUUUAGAUGUCAUACCGAAACAUUGGGCCCACGCGCAUUCUCUUAGGUACUAGUUCGCCAAAGUGAUGUAUCGGAUCACUGAGCCCACGUGCCCUUUUUAGAUGCCAAUACUUAAUCACCGAGCCAACGUACCAUUCUCCAGGUGAUUUACUUUCUACCAUGAUUCCACUAUGAAACAACUCCUUUCUCUAUAGAUCACCAGUCUACUAUCAAUACUGACCAUCGAUAUCCGAUCAUUUCCCAAUCAAAUAAUCAAAAACAACCAUUUAGGAAUAUAUCCUAAAAUUCCAUAUUUAAUUCAAUUCAGCACGAUUCAAAGCUCAAAUAAAUAAACGGAUUGCACCACGACAAUUAGCACGAAAUUGCAAUCACCGGCCAUCCUGGUUGAAUUUUCGGAAAAAUAAAUAAUUAAAUAAAUAAUUUCGAAAAUUAAAUAAAUAAACAUUAAAAAUCCAAUUUAGGCCCGUGAUACCUAAUUGGAACUCGAAACGGGUCGGGAAAACCCCGAGAUACAUUCAAUAAAUAUUAGAAUCUCUCUACUGGUUAAUGACUAAGUCCAACCACCUAACAUGCAUCAUUAAGUCACUAAUUUAAUUGUUCGAAACUAAUCUAAUCGCCUAAUUGCGCUUAAUUAAAUCUAAUCAACCCUUAGGUAUAAUUAGCAAACUAAGAAAGCAUUAGUGAGUAAAACUCACUUGGCAAAGUGAAGAUCGGAACAUUGCGAUGGCGAUGCAAUAGCGGUCGAAAUCCAAAUUUUUGGCAGCGUCGGCGGAUACUCGGGUCGGGCCAAAAAGCCUUGCAAGCCCCACAGAGAACUAUUGGGCUUGGAUUGCUGAAGUCUCAGGCCGAAUUGCUGAAUUAACGGGCUGAACUUCAAAGCCAAAGGUGGGCUUGAAACUUGAUGGAGAUGAUGGGCCGAACUUAUUGGAUCCUUGGGCUUCGCUGGAAAUGGGCUGAGCUGAAAACAAUUGCGAACUGGGCUGAGUUGCUGAAGAUGGGCUUGACAAAUUCGUGUGGGCUGAAGAAAAAAAAACUUUUGUGGACUGCUGCAGCUGAAGCCUCGGCUGGGCUUGACUUCAAUUGGGUCGUGCAAGAAGCAGCAAGGGCUGCUGACUGAAGAGCUGUUGGACUAGGUUUUGCUGGGCCGAAGAUCUGAAGAUGCUGGGCUGAAGAGGCCGAACUUUAGCCUGUCUCACACGGGCUAGAUGGACGCUGGCGCACGGAGGAAAAUGGAGGGCGACGCACGCGGUUUCGUUGGUCUUCGGUUGCUUCGUGCGCGGCAGCAAGGAAGGCCGCUCGGUGGAGAUUCGUGCGUUGCUGCUGCAGACUACGCGGACGAAGAAGCAGCUUGCUGUCUUCGAUGGGGAAAAACGACCGACCGUGCGAUGGGAGGAGAGAGAUCACGGGGCUGUGGUAUUCAGUGGAGCUGCAGUUAACCAAGGACGUGGCAGCAAGCGGUUGGACAGAAGACGUGUGGAUGGGGCAGGCGUCGGGGACGAAACGAAGAUGCUGAAGCUGAGCGUUGAAGACCUGCUGGGAUUGAAGAAACCGAAGGGAACAAACGUGAGUGGAGCAGGGGCAAGCUAGCAGGAGGAGUCAACUGCUAGGCUUUCGGUGGCUUGCUGUUGACCGUGAAAGAGCAGGCUGUGAACACGUAGAGAAGCAGACGUCGCUGGCAAGGGUCUUCGGUCAGCAAGGCUUCAUGAAAUUUUGAAGCCGCGUGGAGCUUCGGUCUUCGUGGGCAGAGAAGACUGAGAUGCUGGCUCAAGUGGGGUUUCGUUGAGUGGAGAGAGAUGAGGAGAGCAGCGAAGGAAAUUAAGGAAAUGAAAUUGAAGCAGAACUUGGUGGAGUCGGCCGUGAAGAUGAGGCGCACGAAGAGAUGAAAGACCGGCAAGCAAUGGUGCUCAAGUGGUCUUGCAAAAAGGGGCCCCAAAGUCAAUCAAGCUUAUCCCUAAAUUGAAUGCUUGGACUCGC
Molecule: long non-coding RNA, 2931 nt
Filed under: Eucalyptus grandis
Lineage: Eukaryota; Viridiplantae; Streptophyta; Magnoliopsida; Myrtales; Myrtaceae
Description: long non-coding RNA (EGRA_LNC004191)
Source: RNAcentral